CGAACUUGAAAUACCGCUACCUUGAACGAUAACUUGCUUACGGGGUUGCGUACUAUGGCACUUAGUGCCUGGUUCUAGACUUACGCGGGUAGCAAGCCAUAUGGGCAACUGUGUGGCCUCUGCUCCGCAAAGUAGGUCCCGGACAUCGUCAGACGGGGAGUUUGGCUGGGGCGGCACAUCUGUUAUACGACAACACAGGUGUCCUAAGGCGAGCUCAGCGGGGACAGAAACCCCGCGUAGAGCAAAAGGGCAAAAGCUCGUUUGAUUUUGAUUUUCAGUACUAAUACAAACCGCGAAAGCGUGGCCUAUCGAUCCUUUAGAGAUCGGAGCGUGAUGCUAGAGGUGUCAGAAAAGUUACCACAGGGAUAACUGGCUUGUGGCUGCCAAGCGUUCAUAGCGACGUAGCUUUUUGAUCCUUCGAUGUCGGCUCUUCCUAUCAUUGUGAAGCAGAAUUCACCAAGUGUUGGAUUGUUCACCCUCUAACAGGGAACGUGAGCUGGGUUUAGACCGUCGUGAGACAGGUUAGUUUUACCCUACUGAUGCAUAUCCUGACCGUAGCUCAAUAUAGUACGAGAGGAACAAUUGAGUAGGGUCGCUGGUCAAGCUGCUGGCUGAAACGCCAGUGCAGCGAGGCUAUCACCCUCUAGAUUAUGGCUGAACGCCUCUAAGCCAGAAUCUAAUCGGUAAAGGAUACGAUGCGGCGCUGAAUAGACAAAGAUAGAUUCGUUCAAUGUCAGCGGGCUCAGUAUCUAGAUGGUCUUAGUGCCGUCGAUGCGGGCUCAACAAAAGGAUUUCGCGUUGCUAUGAACUCCCAGAAGACGACUGGGUAUGUGCUGGGUACUGUACGUGGCUGAGUAGCCUCCGUGCUACGAACUGCUGAGGUUUCC
RNAcentral lists this ribosomal RNA (887 nucleotides) under Filamoeba nolandi. Its description in RNAcentral is "partial Eukaryotic large subunit ribosomal RNA". It matches the Rfam family "Eukaryotic large subunit ribosomal RNA", at positions 2484 to 3383 of the family's 3401-position model. Lineage: Eukaryota; Evosea; Variosea. The record is from RNAcentral.